AUGAAGAGAAUGAGAGUGAUUAACAUUCUUUUCUUUAUAAACUUUGUCCAACUAACUUUUACAAUGAGAUACAAUGUGAUUUAUAUAGAGUCAUAUGAAAGAAUAUUAAGAGUUACAGCAAUAACUAUGUCUAGGUCCCUAGGGGGUAAAUUUCCCACUGCUCACAGGAAUCUGACAUUUGAUUUACCCAAGACUGAUUUGAGUUUAACUAACAAAACUCUCUCAUAA
Non-coding RNA from Vicia faba (fava bean), 228 nucleotides. The record is from the annotation of a GenBank genome assembly. NCBI's taxonomy places the organism in Eukaryota, Viridiplantae, Streptophyta, Magnoliopsida, Fabales, Fabaceae.